CCUCUUCUCUCUCCCUAUUUUCUAAAUUACAACUAGAACUAACUAGAACUAGAACUAGAGGAACUAGAACUAGAACUAGAUGAACUAGAACUAGAUCUAGAUGAACUAGAGGUAGAACUAGAAGAACUAGAGGGAUCCUCUCUACUUGGAUGAAGAAUUGAAACCCUAGCUUUGAUUCUGUAGAAGAGGUAUGAUCUCCAGGGGCCAGGGGGCCUUGCUUAUAUAGUCUUUUCAGAUGAAUCUGGGCCGUUGGAUCAAACCGACAUUAAUCGCAUGGUUUUCCUUGGUCCCUUAGGUCGGUGGAGCACGAUCCGCGAAGUUGAAGCUGAUUGGUUACUGUAGCUGGGCGGGCACCCAAGGGACUUGGGCGGGCGCCCUGCCCCCGGGCCCGAUCGGCCUCCCGUUCGUUCCCGUGGCUUCUGGAGUCUUCUCGAUGGUAGAAAAUUGUGUGGCACGUUAAUAUCUCUAUGUAAACCCGACGUGUGGGCCUUUCUUUCAUAUUUCCUGAUAACCCCCUGCAGAAAUAGACAAACACCAAAACUCGUGGAAUUCUGUCAGAUAAAACCCUAAGUCUAGGUGUUAGUUGCAUUUGGAUCCUUUUCCCUGAUUAGUUGAUGGUUAAAUGUGAGCAUUGAGGACCGUCAACAAGCUCCCCUAAGCUUAACCUUUGCUCGUCCCUGAGCAAAGAUGAACUCAAGAGUUUCUGCAGUGGUUUCAUGCCUUAAAGAUACACAUGCGUUCAAACAGGAUCUCAUCUCUAGGUUAGGGUAAACUGUUAAGAUUUAAAACUUACUCAUUUUACCUUUCACCAUGGGGCUUGCAACCGUCACUUUUGUCUUGAGCAGUUAAAAGAUAGAACGGUCUAGUCAAGCACCAUGUCUCUUGUUCUUCGAUUAACUAUAGGUCUGGAGUUUUUGCAGAUUUUCAAAUAAAACUCAGAGAUUCCUUGUAUGACUCUCUCUAGUCUCUCUUUUGUGGUAUUUCUGGAUCCUUACCAAGGCAGUAAAUAUGUAUGCCUUCUCUCAAAGUAUGUGGUAUUUUUGGUAUGAGGCAUAGUGACAUUUCCUUCUCUCUCACCCUACUCUAAUAAGGUUUUGAUAUCUGGAGCUCAUAGGUGGGAGACAGCUAAUACAUACUUACAAGACAUUUAUUGCAUAGUCAAACCACAUGGAUCCAGAAGAACAAGUCAAUAAGUCAAAUCAAGAUGUGCAUGUGUGGUGUAUGAAUGAUGUAUGGUGACGAUGGUAAUAACAAUGGUGAAAGUCUAAUUCUACUUUUGCUCUUUUGAGGGGGUACAUACCUUUCUUGCUCUUUUGAAACUUUUUGAGGAAAAUGAGAUGCUCUAUAUUUUCUUUUUCUCUCACGUGGGUAUCUUGUACCACUAAUUCUACUGUCGGACACUUAUCCAUUUUUACCUCUCGUCUCACUUUUUCUUUCUUUCGAGGUUCCGGGCACUUGCCCCUUUUUAUUUCCUCGCAUUCUUUCUUUUUUUCUUUCUUUUUUUUAGAGCACUCAUCUCCUGAAAUAAUAUAGCAUGUGGUAGUAACCAAGAUAACUUGAGCAUUUUUUCACUGGGAAAAACAGAAAUAGGAGAAUGUUUUUGGCUAUUCUCUGCCGGAUUAGGAGUAGAAUAUUUUUGGGUGGUUCUGGAGAUGGAAAUGGAUGGAUAUAUGUGGAUGGUACUUCUGGAGUAGAAGUAGCAUGUGUGAGUGAAUGUGCAAGUGAAUCUUGAUUUAACGACAUGACAAGCUCCUAAGGGUCUACACAGCUUGACCACACUCAAUGCUCAUAAGCAGUAAAAAGUAAAUGUGUGGUUCUUAGUCUAACAAGCAUGUAUAUAUGGCUGUGGUAGGAAUUUAAACUCUCAUCAUACAGGAACUCAUCAUGCAACAUUUUAAAGAUAUUCGAAGAUAAAAUUCUCUAGAAUUCUAGCAUCUCUACAGAUAAAUAGCAGCUCAACCUUCCCAUAUCAUAUCCGUUAACGACUUAGACUUUAUAUCAAGUACUCUUCCCACAAGUUCAGGUUUAGAGCAAAUCUUAAUUAAUAACAGUGAUGCCUAAACUUGAGAGAGAUUUCAAUUUUGAGAACUAGUCAUGGCAGAGCAACUAUUUAUUAUUUUCAUGUGAGAGCUUAUCAUGAGGGUUCAUAGCGAUCUUUAUUUAUUUAUUUAUUUAGCAAACUAAGCAAAUAUAUAUAUAAGCACAAAAUCUUUAUUUAGGUUUUUAUGAUUAUGCGUAUUUUUAUUAUUUGAGUAAAGUAUAACCAUGAGUAGAACACUUAGCUGGAUAAAUGGGGGUGCUCUCCCCCAAGCUGGAUUUUGACGCAAUUUCUUCUGAUGUAGCUAGCAGGUGGUGGAGGUGUAUUUAAAUGUCAGCAGCACCCUGACAGCGAUUAGGAUGUCCUCCGUCAGCUAGUCUUCUUUGAUCCUUGAAUUCUGUGGAGCUCAAAUAGACAACAAAGCUUUGUGGAACUAGUUAAGUGUUAGCAUAAAUAUCUAGCCUUUAUCAUAUUGAGCCUCCUCAAUAAAUGUUACUCUCUUUAGUAGGAUCAUUAAUUUUUAUAGUUUUAUUUUUAUAGGACAGGAAUAUACUUAUUUUAUUUUUACGCCACCACAGUGGAUGUACUUAUGGGUUUUAUGCCAUGAGCAUACUCACAUGGGGCUUACUAUUUUUAACAUUUUUAUUUUUUUUUAAGAUGAUGUGAACCUGAUUAACUAAGCAAACUAUUUUAAAAUAAUUGAAAGGAAAAAAGAUAACUACCAAGUUUACCUCUUGGCAAGGCGUUCGGUGUUUUUAAGUCCUCCGAACGGGACUCUCCGUUUUCUCAGUCGUCCUGGGAUUUGCUGGAUGGCAUAGUCGGUGGUUCCGGCAGAGCCUGCUCUUCGUGUAUAACUAUCUUCUCUCUCCACACCUGACUCGGUGCUACGGUCUCCUCAGGACAGUUCUGUUCAAGCUGUAUGUCUUCAGACCUCACUAUUUCUCCUUCGUAGUCUGUCCAUCCGUCCUUGAUAAUUUGCCUCCUCUGGUUGCGGUUGCAUUGUCUUCUUCUUGUCCUGACCUGCUUAGAGUCUUCAACUAUAUAGUUAGGGUCAGUAAAAUAGUGGCGUACCUUCUCAGAGGGAAAGUGCAUGUGGACUUCUCCGGUUCCAAUGUAGAUGAUUGCUUUAACAGUGCUGAGGAACGGUCUUCCAAGGAUGAUGGGUGGAUCGUACUUGUCUUCUCCCAUGUCAAUAACCUUAAAAUCAUCUGGAGCUGAAUGUAUGUUGGUUGUAGGGACAUGGUUCCAUGCAGGAGCUGAUAGGUGGCUGCAGCCAUUAUGUUGACGCCUGAUCCGGUGUCGCAAAGCGUCUUGUGCAAGUUGUAUCCAUUAAUGGAGCACUGGAUGCUUGGCAUACUUAGGUCGUCCUUUUUGGUCAGGAACGGUGACUUAAGUUGACGAUCUUGACCUCCUUGAACUGCAGUGACCAUCUUAGCUGACUUGGUCCACAUUUGCUUGUUCAUGUUCCUCUUGUUGGUCCUUCCUUGGUUCAUGUCAGGAUUGCUCUAAGAUUUGUGUAGUCUUUUUCUUGAAGGAAAACGUCUCUUUCUUCCCCUUGAUGUAGAAACUGAUCUUGGCAGCACUAGCGUAGAUGACAGCUCCCGAGGUGUUCAGGAAUGGCCUCCCUAGGAUGGGUGCCCUCUCAUCAGUACCAGUCUCUAUCACCACGAAGUCUGCUGGGGCGUACAAGGUACCAACUCGGACGAAGAGGUUGUUCAAUAUUCUCUUUGGGAAACUUAGCGUACGAUCUGCAAGCUGCAAACACAUGGUUGUUUCUAGGAAAGGAUGUGUAAAGAAUUUUUCAUUGAGUACCCUGAGCAUAAUGUUGACGCUGGAGCCAAAGUUGCAGAGUGCUUCUAGGAAGUCCACCAUGCCGAUGGAGAUCGGGAUGACGGGACGUCCUGGAUUUUAUCUCUUGACUGGCAGAAGGUCAGUAAUUACUUCCACAACAGGGUUACUCCAGUAGUUACGUCCUCAAGCAUCUCAGGGCAGUGAUUGUCUGAGUGUCCAGUAUCUCCAGUGUGUUUGUGCUCGUAGAUCUAGGUUCUUCUCUUGGUGGAGUCUUGGAGUUGUAAAACUCCUUCAUAUUUUGCUCGAAGUGUACCUGCUCAUAGAGACAAGGCAGAGAUCAAGUGCAUGGGCCCUGUUGGUGGAAAACACCAACAGAACCAAAAGUGUAUUUAUUCUUCUCUAUCCUUAAGCAUAGUAAGCAAGACAAAGUUGAUGGAUAAUAAAAUCAUGAGUGUAGCAUUUAAAACAUUUGUUAGAUCAGAUCACUCAACCUAAAGGAAAGAUAAUCUAUCUAUAUUUAUGUUGUUUUUUUAUAAUAUAUAUCUUCCAAAGAUUGAGUGUGCAACAUUUUAGCUCAUAAGAUUAGGAGUGUGGGAUCACAAAGGUAGUACUAUAAACAAAGAUUAAAGGACUAAACAUGUUGAAUCAGUUGGGUUGGUUAAUUUGGAGUUAUAAAUCAUACAUGUUUGUCUCUUUAUUUAUGUGAACGCUAGAACCAAGGAGAAGCUUAUAAAAGUGAUAAUCAAGUACCUUAAGAUGUUACCUUACUUGAAGAGUGAUGGUACAGUAUUACCUUGUGGAAGCUUUCCUUUCUUAGCGGUUAUGCAUCGUGUUUGUGGCACCCUCCAUGGAUCAUCUCUUGUGAGCUAUGCCUUCCUUGUAUAAAUUGUUAAACUUCAUGUGUCUCUCUCUUUGUCUCCAAUAUGAGUUUAUCUCAAGACUUCCCAGGUGGAUAUUGAAAGUUUUCCUGCAGGGUUAGUCCAACAAAAUAUCCAAUAUCUACUAUAGCACACUAUCGGCUCAAAAAUCAAUCUAGACACCAUGUCUAAUUUGAUUUAGGAGGGCAUUUUAACCUAAGCACCAUGCUUAAUUUAAAAACCCUUGGAAGUAAGAUCAUCAGCCCUAAACUAAGCACCAUGCUUAAUUAAGAGAUAAGUGAAACUACUCCAAAUCUAGACAUAUACUAAAGCAAAUAAAGGUAGCAUGAGAACAUUUAUAGAGAUCUACUCAAGUGGAGAUAAAGUAGUGUGAUUAGUAUUUAACAAUUUGAGCAUGUCUCAAAGGUAGGGACAACCAACAUAGCAACAUGGCAAAGGAUGUUUUUAUGUAAAGUACUCCCCGAAGUUUGAAUUUUUGCAAAAUUCAAGUUUGGAUGAAUUUAAUUCAAUGUUGUAUGAUGAUUGGUUGGAUAUACCUUGUGCUUGUCAUUCAUCCGAUCUUCUUGCUCCAAUCCUAGAAGGUUAUUGACAAGAAUACCCGAAGGAAUAUUUUUACAAUUAUCCUUAUAUGCUCAAUACACAAGGUAAUGUUGCAAAUAAUUAAAAGCUCAUGUUAUGAUCUGAUCAGUGCUUAUUUUAGGACACUAAGCUUGUCCUUGGGAAACCAUCAAUUUAUGUCAGUGAAGUGGUUUCCCCUCCAACGCUGACCUAUAUCAAGAUCAACUCAACGAGAUCUGCAAAAUUUAUUAUAGACAUAUGCAUCGACAACCGCCCUUUUAAAGUUUUUAUGAAUAGAAAGGAAGAGGGGGUUGGAGAUCUCGAAUGUGGUGAUGUUGGAGAGACCAAUGGAUUGUGAAGAUGUUGCAUAUGAGCAUGGAGUAAGUGAAGUGGCUAUGAAAUAAAUUCCAUGCUCAUUAAUGCUUAGAGUGAAAUCCAUGUGGUAUGGUGAAAAUGGUAAGGUGAGUGUGGUAAAAAAAGGAAAAGAAAAAUGAUACACGGAUGACUUGGUUCGAAACUAGCACAGCUACCGUUCCCCGGCAACGGCGCCAGAAAGCUUGUUGGGUAUUUUAAACGCAAACAGAAAAAAUCCGCAAGCGCACGGAUACCGAUGUAGCUUUCACCCGGGAGUAUUCCAGAGUAUCGAUUUUCCAUAGGGAACGUGAGUGUACUAAUUAAGAUCCAAGAUCGCCCAAGGAUAACUAUAUAAUUAUUUUUGGUGGGAAGAGAGGAAGUUUCCUGAGAGUUCUCUAGUUGAUCUAAGAAUCAAGAAUUACUUCAAGAUUAUCUAUUUCGGGACAUGAGAGCACUAACCACAGAAAGAGAUGAGAAGGGGGCUAGGAAGGUCUGACUACGGUCCUACAAACACCGAUCCGAACGAGGUGGAAUACGUCGACCAUUAGGGCUGUCACUACCCUAAGGCUACCACAACAAUCCGCAGGAUUGGGUGCAAUUCCAGGUAAUUGCAAGACUAAACACCACGUCUAAUCUAUUAAUUACUACUCUAAUGUUUCAAAGAUUAGAGCACUUGAUGCAAGCGGGAAUCCAAUAAAUAACUUGAAUGUAAAUAAAAGUAAUUAGAGAACUCAGGAAUUAUGAAUUGAAGAACCUGGAGAACGAUGAAGAACGAACCAGAUGCUGCAAAAGUAUAAUGUUGAGGAAGAUCCGACAGAUCCGGCUCCUCCUCCGCUCUCCUCUUCUCUCUCCCUAUUUUCUAAAUUACAACUAGAACUAACUAGAACUAGAACUAGAGGAACUAGAACUAGAACUAGAUGAACUAGAACUAGAUCUAGAUGAACUAGAGGUAGAACUAGAAGAACUAGAGGGAUCCUCUCUACUUGGAUGAAGAAUUGAAACCCUAGCUUUGAUUCUGUAGAAGAGGUAUGAUCUCCAGGGGCCAGGGGGCCUUGCUUAUAUAGUCUUUUCAGAUGAAUCUGGGCCGUUGGAUCAAACCGACAUUAAUCGCACGGUUUUCCUUGGUCCCUUAGGUCGGUGGAGCACGAUCCGCAAAGUUGAAGCUGAUUGGUUACUGUAGCUGGGCGGGCACCCAAGGGACUUGGGCGGGCGCCCUGCCCCCGGGCCCGAUCGGCCUCCCGUUCGUUCCCGUGGCUUCUGGAGUCUUCUAGAUGGUAGAAAAUUGUGUGGCAUGUUAAUAUCUCUAUGUAAACCCGACGUGUGGGCCAUUCUUUCAUAUUUCCUGAUAACCCCCUGCAGAAAUAGACAAACACCAAAACUCGUGGAAUUCUGUCAGAUAAAACCCUAAGUCUAGGUGUUAGUUGCAUUUGGAUCCUUUUUCCUGAUUAGUUGAUGGUUAAAUGUGAGCAUUAAGGACCGUCAACAUCUACCUUGGGGUAUACCCAUUGUAGUAGAUUAUCGGUAGACAGGUGCGCAAGCUACGAACUUGAUGGUGACACAAGACACAUACAAGGAUUUUAUCUAGAUUCGGCCACCAUGAGGGUGUAAUACCUAUGUCCUGUGUCUGAUUGUAUGGAUAUGAGUUGUGUUGAGAUGAGAUGAUCUGAGGGGGUCCCUUGCCCCUCCUUACAUAGUCUGGGGGACAAGGUUACAAAUCUAGAAACUAAUCCUAGUCGGUUACAAUUGCCACAGAUAGUUCGAUAUCAAUUUCUAUUCUAACCGACUAUUCGAUAUCAAUUUCUAUUCUAACCGACCAGGAUCUUGCUUGAUCUCCAUGUCUUGUCUCCUUACGCAGAACUCCGAGUAGAUGGAUCAAGCUACGAGUGGUCUUGUAGUGGGCCAAAUCUCUCGGCCCAAGUCUAGCCAUAAGGGUAUAGGGGUUUAUAUCCCCAUAGGGAUGGAUCCAGCCGCCGACAAGGAGGGGCACCACUCCCAUUUGCACCACUGAGGAGGAGGGCACCACCAGGGGAGGGAAGGAGAGGGGUGCACCGCUAGGAGGGAGGUAGGGUGAGGCAGAAGAGAAGUGGCUGGUGACCUCGACCUAUCAUGGGUGAGAAGAGAGGGGAGGAGAGUGGUGCGCUCGACUGUGGGAGAGCAGGCACCACUCAGCUGCAGGAGGGAGUAGGAGUGGCAGUGUAGUGAACCCUAAGUUCUAGUAUAUACAUGAAGAUGGCUAUCAGGCUCUGACUGGGCUGGCUGGGCCUCGGCCUUUUAGGAGGCAGGCUAGAUAGUGUGCCCAUCUCCAAAAAUAGAUUUACAAGGGUGGGCACUAUAACACGACAGUCUUCAAAAAUACUAUUUUUGGAGGCGGUUACCUUAAUACACCCGCCUCCAUAAAUCGAUUUUAGGAGGCGGCCAAAAGUGUCCGCCUCGGUAAAUAAAAAAUGCCCACAUCCAUUAAUCGCUGGCAUUAACCAAGGCGGUUGAAUUUUGUGACCGCCUCCAAUAAUAAAAAGGUACUUUUUUGCAAAAUCAUUUGAUAAUAGUUCAGUACAAGCAACUGCCUCGAUUAAUACUUAUUAAAUGAGGCGGCCACCAUAACCCACCUACCUCUGCUAAGAGGUUAACUGAGGCCAACCUUAAACCAUUAACAAAGGCAGAUGUUAUUAGUUCCCUCCUCCAUUAAUAAUUUUCAGAUUAAAACAAUACUUUUUAAAAUUUAGAUUCAAAUUUAAAUUUGAAUUUUGCUAAUUAAAGCAGAAAACACGCUUAUAGAGAACAAACCUAUAUUACAUUCAUUCAUGUCAUUCUUAUGUUCCAAGAACCGACAUUAAGUUAUUACAUUACAUUGUCUUCCUUGUCGUACGACAAACAUAUAUUGAAUUCGUACAUGUGAAACUAAGGAUCAAAAGAUGUCCAACAACUUGUAAUAUGUGAUGUCUAAAAUGGCUCGGCUACAAAAUUUGGCAUCACAGACAACAAUCAAAUUAGCAUCAAAGACACCAGGGAAGGGUUCAUCACAAGCAUUACACAUGUAGAAAAGGGGAUGAUCCUUUGUGAGCCGGAUAUGUAGCUGUGACGGUAAUAGAUGGAGUCGGGGAAGAUGGAGUUGGGGAAGACCGCUACUAGGGUUCCCAGCGGAUGGAGCUAGGAAGUCAAGAGUAGGAGCAGAGGGACUCAACACUAGGGAAGGCCCCAUGAAGGACGACACGAGGACUGAAGGACGGAGCCAGAUGCGGUGGACAACAUGGUGGAUGGAGGCGGUGGAUCUCGACGAAGAGGAGAGGGCGUGACAGAUUGAUGGUGAAGAUGGAGCCAAGGAAGAAGGCCGUAGGGGUCACGGAUGGUAGCGGGUGGCAUAGUGACCAAAAGCUAGGGUUCUGCCCCACGACGGCUGGAGCUAGGAAUCUGCCCUGAGGUCAUGGACGGAUGAGGAAGAUGGCAGGCAGAGCUUGGAGCGUGCGAAGUCAGGGCCAGGAAUGGCGGCAGAAAAAUUUGGUAUCCCUUUGGGGUUGAUUUGAAAUGGUCGAAGGACUCAAAGAAUUUGGGGAGAUGAGGGAGUAUAUAUAGGCCACGGUUAACCGAGGUGGGUGGCUUAGGGUCCCUGCCUUAGUUAAUAUUAACAGAGGCAGGCGAGUAAGGGUGCCCACUCUGGUUAAUAUUAACCGAAGCGUAUGGCUUAGGGUGCCCGCCUCGGUUAAGAUUCUUUAUUUUUUGAAUUUUGAAUUGUUCUUCAGUUAAAUUAUUUUUACUAUGUGUUAAGUUGAUUUUUAAUUUUAAUGCUUUUUAAAAUUCAUAUUUAUUUUAAAGUGCCUAUUAAACUUUGACAAAUUAGUAUAAGUAUUAGAAAUAGUACUAGGAGUAGGGAGAAGGGAUAGUAGAGCAGUGUUAGUAGUGUAGUUGUAACAGAGUAGUAGUAUUGUAGGGGUAGUAGAGUGUAGUACAGUAACACAUAAUGAUGCAUACAUAAAUGUGAGGCAUACAUGGUUCCAUUAUAAUAAUUAGUUACAAAACUUAUUGUUAAUCAAUAAGUCACUACAUUAUUACAUAUAUGUGUGGCAUGCAUAUCAUUUUGCUGCAGGUGCUCCCAUAGUGUUCUUCCCAUCUUGGUAUUGUUGAAGCAGGUCUCGACGGCCUUGAUCUUCUAUGGAUGAUCGAUAAAGAGUGAGAGCUCUACAAAGUUGUUGAAUUCUUCACGGCUCUAAACUCCAUAAGCUCCCAUAAUCUCUAGUUUCCUAACACAAAAAUGUUCCUCUUCUUGUCCUUGGGCACCCCAAAGUAGGCUACUUGCAUGCAGCGGCUUACUAGUACCCACUAAUCAUCUUUGUAGCCGACAAUUUGGAGCUCCAUGGUGGUUAGCCUUUAGUCAUCCACAACAAACCCCUUUGGUUUUACCCACUUGCACCGGAAGACAACUAAUUGUAGGUCACUCCCAUAUCUCUUCAAUCUACUCAAAGUAUGUCCUAGUCCCCCCUCAAUUCAUCAAUGCACUCAUAUCAAACAAUGUUGUUAUGUGUCAUGCUCUUCUUGUCCUUCUAUUUUGUAUGUAACAUGUAUCCAUUGAUGUCAUACCCUUGCCAUGUGAUGAUUUGGGUUGACGGGCAAUAUAAGCCCCUCCUUCAUCAAGUUCUCCAUGGGGUAUGUCCUGCUAGUCUUUGAUUUGCACCGUGAAACUGAUUUUGUGCUACUGCGCUGUGAAACUGAUCUUGCGCUAUUUAUGGACCCAUGCUUCUGUGCACUCUCCAUCAUGAAUGGCAUGGGUCUCCUCCAGGUGCUUGUCAACAUAGUUCGAUGACCACUAGCUGAUGGAGGAUGUUGUGAUGAGCUUCUUACACCAUUUCGUACUGUAUAUGGGAGUAUGCUUUCCUCCCCAUGCAACCCAUUCCUGAUGUUUUGCUUUCAUGUUGAAGGAUGGGCAAGCCAAUCGCCCUUCCAUCUUGGAUGUACCUAGUAUAGCAGUUAAUGACCAUCUUCACAUACUCUAGAUCGAUAGUUGUGAUCACAAUUGGAAGGAAUACCAUCAGUAUGAUAUGGAAGUCAUGUGAGUUGAAGCUAGUCAAUGUGAGGUCCUUUAGGCUCUUGAUAUUGGUAGAGAAACUAGUCGACACCUUGACACCCCUAAUCUACUAGCACACAACCCUCUUAUCAUCUAAAGGUUAAAACACAACACCAUCCACUGCUUCGGGCAAUCCUUGUAGAGGGGAUCAAUUGUCACUUGCUUCAUCUUUGAAAUUCUCCAGCCACACAUCGGGCUCCUAAUAAAUAGAAUGUCGUCAUGGUCUAGACGGUUAGUGAUUUCCUCAAAAUACACCACAUCCUCAGCUUCCCUCGUAGUAGUUGGCUCCCCAUCCCCAUAGGUGCCCCCACCGUCAUUAUCGUCUACCAUGUCUUAGAGCAGAUCAUCUAUUAUGAUGUAAUUGCUAUCUACAUUGUCACCAGUAGUAGUGUCAUGCGCAUCGGCUGCUGCUGCUAAUGAGGGUUGUUGUCCUCUAUCAUGGUCUGCAUUCACAACCGUUGUUGAUGUCGUUGACAUGUUUCUCUAGAUGCACUUGCACUCAGAUCUGCUUCGCCGUGAAACUUUGAAACAGUGCGAUUCUUGAUGAAACCAUACUGGAUCAAGUGAGAUUGCACUACAUGAUCUCUAUGGGCAAGAUUGUUCUUGUAGCUAUUACACAGACAAAUGAUGCGCGGCCGCUUCAGGCUCAGAUGAUGCUUUAUCAUAGGGCAACAAACUUUCUCACAUGAUCCAAGUAAGAUGGAUUCAGCCUCAAUGCUUUGUACAUCCAUUCCCUGUCUAUGACCCUGAAAACCUUGCACACACACAGCGAAAAAGGCAUAUAAGCAUAGUAUUAAAAAAUGCAGUCAGGUAGCUCUAGAUCUGCUUUCUCUCUCCUCCAUAUAGAUCUAGAUCUAGAGAAAAAGCACCCAAAUGAUGAAAAAGAUAGAAGAAUAAGGAUUGGAGACCGAUUAGCUAACUCUUGGGUGCCCCCUUCUACAAUCCAAGGGAAAAACUUCUUAAUUUUUGGGGUUUUGGAGCUCAAAACUCGCAGAAGUGGAGAAGCUGGAGAAAGAAGGGUGGGUGCGGCUGUAUUUAUAGCUCAGGCUUAAUCGAGGCGGACACCAUAAGACAACCACCUUGGUUAAUUGUAUGUUAAUCGAGGUGGUUGCCUUCAACCAAAUGCCUCAGUUAAUUAAUUAACUGAGACGGGCUAUCUAAGACAACUUCCUCAUUUAAUAUAGAUUAACUGAGGCGAUUGCUGUUAAUAAGCAUUAACCGAGGCAGCUCUGUUACGUUGCUCGUCUUGAUUAAGCAAUAAGUGAGGCGGUUGCUGGGCCGGCUGCCCUGCCACGAAUAACCAAGACGGGCAACCGGCCUAACUGCCUCAGAGCCCUUUUUCCAAAGUCCUCGGUUAAGUUUUUGCUUUUUCCAAAGUCCUCGGUUAAGUUUUUGCUUUUUCCAAAGUCCUCGGUUAAGUUUUUGUAUAGUAGCGUAUGGCAGACAGUUUUGAGAAAAACAAAGAUGUAUAGCAGCCCACAAGUUUUUUUGGCAUGUUUGUAUGCAGCUGUUGUGAACUUAUGACUUUGUGCGAAAUAUUCCGUUCCUCAUACAGUCAUACAUAUUUUGUUCAUACAUGCUGCUCUAUCUUGCAUCAACCAAGAGCGACGACAGAUCAAUGAACAGGCAGCUGGUGGACACUGCCCGCGACUACGGAUGAUGUGGAGGAGGAUUCUAGGACACAGCAGCAGGUUGGGAAGCCCCACAUGUACCUGCAUGCCCCAAGAUUACUGCCACCCGUCACAGCACACAUUCCCGUGCAAAUUUCUUGCCUGCAGACAACAACUCUGUUGCAGAUCUCCCCUGACACCGACGCCGCCGCGAGGAGAGCCAUCACCAGCGUCGCCGCCAAAACGAGAUCCUUCUUCUUGCAGCAGGACACGAGGAACGCCAUCUUGCGUAGAGGAGGCUAAAAAAUGUUUCUUGUUGAAUGAUCGAUGCUCUUUCGUCUUGCUUGUGCUCAUUUAUAUGGUACAAAUACCAUAUAUUUAAGUGCAUUGAUUGGCUGCUAAUAUGUCGUACAAUGUGAUUGAUUUCUCACAGAUAUUGAUCGUAGUGACAAGAUUUUAGGGUUCCCAGAAUAGUUAUCCUGACACGUCCAGAAUAAUUUAGCUCCAUAAGGCUAGCUAAGCUUUUGAUUAUCACCAUAAUAUAGCUUUAUAAUUGUAUUUAAUUAAAUCAAUUAAGUUCUAGGCCCAUAUUUAAUACCAUAGUGCAAUAUAUAUAUAUUUUUAGUUGUAUAUGAGAUUUUGAAGAUAUGUUGACUCAACUUAAAUACGUGGACAAUGUGUGUUCCUAUUGAGAAGUUGAGGGAGGCUAAGAGUAUGCGACAUGCGCACGCACACCGCUGCUAAGCGUGAUGGGCUCGAGCCACACCACUUCAUGACAUGAUGUGGUGUGGGCCGAGCUUGGAUUUGCCACUCGACAUGACUGAUAAGAGGCAUUAUGUUGAUUGAUACCGUUGUUGCACGGAGUAAUUGCGAGAGGUGGAGAGUUUCUAUCCGUAACUUUCCACACUCCACAGACUGAUGGAGGCAUUACUAGGAUUGAUACCAUUGUCGGUUUCACCGAGUAAUCAUCCACACUCGGCUGAUUCAUGGAGGCAUUACUAGGAUUGAUACCAUUGUCGGUUUCACGAAGUAAUCGUGAGCCCGGCGAUUUCGCCAAUCCAGUUUCAUCUUCUCGACGAUCCGACUUCUAACCGCUCACGUAUAAGGACGUCAGAGCAUUGCGCAUAUGAGAAUACUACACCCGUACCCUCCUUUUCUCUGUAGAGCUGUUCUAGUUCUCCCCAUUUCAAUCUCCUGCACGCACAGAAGGUUGGAAGAGCAUGCCUCCGGAACUACAUCUGUAUCUAUGACACCUGCUCGGGUGUCCACAACAUAUUCGUAUGCAGCUGUUAUGACUUAUGACUUUAGUCGAAAUAGUCCAUUCCUCAUACAAUCACACGCAUUGAUACAUUUUGUUCAUAUUAAAAGAAAUAACCAGCUGCUGCUGCUCAAUAUUGCAUCAAAUAAGCGACGACGACAGAUCAAUGGACACUGCCGACGAUGGAUGUGGAUCCCGAUUCUAGGACGCAGCAGCAUGUUGGAAUGCCACUAAUGUACCUGCAUACCCCAAGAUUACUUCCUCCCGUCACGGCACACAUUCCCGUGCAAAUCUCUUGCCUGCAGACAUCAACUCUGUUGCAGAUGUCUGCUGACACAGAUGCCACUGCGAGGAGAGCCAUCACCAGCGUCGCAGCGAAAAUGGGAGCCUUCUUGUUGGAGAGGACACCAGGAGCGCCAUGGAGCCGACCUUUUUUUUUGUAGAGACGAGAGUAGAGACUAGUGAUGAUUGAUGAUCUUUAGUGUUUCUAGUGCUUGCUUAUAUAGACUGAAGCCACGAGCAAAUUAGUCUUGCGAGAUCAAUUCCAGUUUUUUUUUUUCCUAAAUUUAAGCUUCCGUUCUUGAUGAUAUAUUUAUAUAUAUGUUCCUAGUGCAUGCUUGAUUCACCAAUCUCGAAAUCAAAUCUUUAUGGUACAUAAACCUUAUAUAUUUAGGUGCAUUGAUUGUCUGCUAAUAUGUCAUAAAAAAAUUGAUCCUCACAGAUAUUGAUCGUACUGACGACAAGAUUUUAGGGGUUCCUUCACGGAUACUUAUCCUGACACGUCCAGAAUUAUUUAGCUCCAUGAGGCUAGCUAGCAGCUUUCGGGUACCAGCUAUGCAAAUUAUUCAUACGAAUCAAUUCCUGGUAUUUAUCUUUCUCUUCUUUAUUCUAUCUUUUAAUACUAUAAUAGCAAACAUUUAUGUGAGUGGCAACAAAAUUUACAUCUCGAGUCGUUUGUCCUGAUACGUUUUGAAAUCAGACUCUACCAUGAUUUAGACGCGUGUUAUUCUAAUUCGUAUGAGUCGUAGUAAGUUUAGGUCACAAGCGGAACAAUAAACUAAUUAGGAUAAUUAAUCUCUUAUUCAUCAACUCUUAGUAAAACCGGCUAGAUUUUUUAUGCUCCGAAGAAUGGAUGGACACGUGGAGUGAGACAGAGUGUGAUCAACCAAAAUUUAGAGUAUUUUUAGUAUUAGGUACAGAUCUUAACAAAUUAUAAGUCGUUAUGUAUUUCGAUGUGAUGCAUAUCCAGUAUAUAACAAAUAUGUAUGUACCUAGAAAAGCCAGAUCGACAUAAAUUUUGAAACAAAAGAGUAGAGUCAUUUUCAGAGGUCUCGGACGUCUUAAUAUGUUCUGUUAAUAAUUGAUUAAGAGAUACGUAUCCUAAGAUGACUGCUUUGGUGAACAGUUACUCUCUACAUUCUAAAUAAUAAAAUGUUUUGGCUUUUCUAGAUACAUUCACUUUGCAAUGCACUUAGAUAUAUAUAGAUAUAUAUAGUAAAAAUAAUGUAUCUAAAAAGCCAAAAUGACUUAUAAUUUAAUACAAAGAGAGUAAUAGAUAUGGUCUGCUUAGGAUAACCGUCUCUAUAUCGUUGCUUGUAUGAGGUGGUACAUGUACUGAGAUUACUCGAGAAACUCCUAUAUUUCAGUCUAUAAUAGGUGCGCGUACGUCACGUAAAAACAAAUGUUGGAAAUAAAUCCACUAUACAAACUGGCUUUUACUAGUUCCAACCAUGAUAUCAAAUGGUUUCAGGGUGCAUUUGCUCGAGGACGAAGUUAGAUGGGAUAUAGCGAUCGAUCCAUAGAUAUUGGAAGAAAAAUAUCCAUAAUGCAUGUUUGGUUAGAUGGGUGGUACGAGCCAUAAUUUUUUGUUUGGUUCGAUGGAUGAAAAGUAGAUAGGGCUAGAAUAAUUGACUAAUUAUAUCUAUUAUUUAGAAAUAAUAACAACUAAUUAGACACUAAUAAAUAUGCACUAAUACUAAUUUUGGUAGGAUAAUCACUAAUUUAAACUAAAAAUGUUAAUUAGCACAACUAAUAACCUAAUGAGCACACAUAAAAUACACUAAUCAAUAUAUUAGUACUUAUAAAAACUAAUCUUACCAUCAUGAGAAUCUCCAACAGUUUGGUAAAUUUCGGUUUGUAAGAGCAUCUCCAACAGUUUGCUAAAAUUCACUUAGCAAAUAUUGUGAUUUGUCAACUCCCUAAAAUAUAUGGCAAGUGAAAAAACGGACUCUCUCCAAUAGUUUGCUAUUUUAACUUAGUAAACUUUUAAAAAAUAGGCCCACAACCUACUGUUCCCAACUUAAAGAACCUGCAUAUUAUCUAGAUUUAUAUUUCAUUCAGUUUUUAGUAGAAUAAAUGUCCACAAUGUUUAUUGUCUUAUGAAAAUUUUGAUUUGCAUUCAGAAACAUGAAACAAGGAGCAUCCGCAUUCAUAAAUAGGCAGCAAAAUCAGUGCAUCCGCGUCAGGAACAAAGCAGAAACUGCCGGCCACCAGCAGCAUCAGCACACCUGACAACGGCGAGGCGUGGUGCAUCACCUGACAGCCGACAGCAACAUCACAAGGGCGGCAAGGUGCUGUGCAUCAACUGACACCUGACAGCAGUACCGACGGUGAGACGCCUGCAGCUCGCGAUGCGAAGUGAGAUACGCGCGCGUAAAGAUGCGCGCGCGGAGGGGUGGAAUACCAAGUUGUUAAAAAUAGCAACCUCAUUUAGCAAACUGUUGGAGAUAAAAUUUUAUUGUUUUACCAAAUUUUUAAAGAUGGCAACCUUAUUUGGCAAACUGUUGGAGAUGCUCUAAAUCAUGGUGUUUGCCAACUUCAAAAAUAAUUUAUAGAGGGAAUAAAGAGCUCAUCUCCAACACUUUGCACUCGCAACAGCCAGCAUUUCGUAGCAUGGCGUCCAUUCGCAAGUAGUACAACGUCCAUUUAGUAGCACUAAUAGCAGCUAGAAUACGCUUGAUGCGCGCUCGAUGAAUCGCGCAUAUAUGCACGUAAAGGAGAGAUGCUAAAGAUACCAAAUCCAGAUGUCAAAUUAUUAGAGAACGUUUUUUCUCUUUUUCCUAAAAAUUUAAGGAUACCAAAUACAGAUGCAAAACUGUUGGAGAUGCUCUAAGUAACAAUAUAACAGACUAAUAAUUCUUAAUUAAUUUAUUAAUAUUAAAGAUUAAAAGACAGAGCGUGGGCACACGCACGGCCAGGACCUGCAGCCUAUUUAUCCUUAUUUAUACCAUCAAACAGUUUCCUCCAUCCGAAGGCCAGCCUGCAACUUACAAGAACAGGAGUGCCAAUGCAGAAAAAAGAAGAGUAUCGGAGCAACAUAUACACACAAAAGAAUCCAUCGAGCCAAUGGGGUUUUUUAAAGACACAGAGUCACUAGUCCAGAAUAGACUUUCCGUGUGUGGAUAAAGUCGGGCUCAAGACUUAAGAAUUAGUUCUGGAUAUAGCCACUAACCAAGACUAAACUCCUCGGCCCAAUGGCUAACCCUGCAGGCUUUUGCAAGUGGAGGGAUCUUUAGUCCUGAUUGAUGGCUUCAACCUAGACUAAAGGUCACCUUUUAGUGCUAGUUGGAGCAAUCAACUAGGAUUAAAGGUUUCAUUGCUCUUUUAUUUCGGUUGAUGGGUCCAACCAGAACUAGUGGAUGACCUUUAGAAGAAGAUCUUCAAUCCUCUGUGCAUUGUAUUUUCUAGAGGUUAGCAACUUCAUCUUUUAAUCUUUUAUUGUUAAUAAUAUAGCUCAUUUCAUGGUUUAGAAAUAAAUAGGGAAACUUGUGGUUUUUUAGAUUAGGAAUAAUAUUUGUGGUUUCAUGGCAGAAAUAAAUAGAGAAAUUUCAUGGUUCUAGUUGAUCAUCAGAUCUAUAACUGUGGACAUAGAAAAAAAAAAGAGUGACAGCAAAAUGCAAAGGGUGUGGGAAUAAGGUAAUUAUCACAGAUCUACAAUGUAACAAAGAGAAAUCUAAACUGUAUCAGAAGAAGACACUAAACUUAGCUGUUCGUUGCCAGCAAUUUUAGAAAUAGCAUGACAACAAGCGUAAGGAGGAAGAGGAUCGAUAAACAUCACGUCUUUCAGGCCUGUGAAAUGGUCAGGUUUCUUAUUAGCCAGAGGAUUGCCCAAGGAUACAGUACUUGACUUGCAUUUAGCGAGCUCAAAGUAGAUUGCCCGGGUCGCAACAAUAUUCCUUGCAAUGAAAAAGACAAAUUCAAACAAAAAGAAAAGCAGAAAAACAAUGACAUUUAUAGAGAAUCAAAUAAGCUACAGAAAAACAAUGACAUUUAUAGAGAAUCAAAUAAACUAGCACACGAAAAGAGAAUUCAGGUGGCUUGGUCCAGUGGGAUAGUCUGUAGAAAUCAAUAUGUCAAUGUAAAUAGACAAGUAAUUUUGUUUGCUGAGCUUGAAUAUUCCCUAUUCGUGACAACCAUCACUGUCAGAUAGUCAAAUUUGAUUAACUUAACAGCUAGUCCACGACAAAUAUCAACAGAUUAAGCAAAUAUUUCAUUUUCAGCUCAAGUAACGGGUCAGCAACCACACACACCAGACACUAGUCACCCAAUAAAAAACUUUUAGCUCAGUAACGAAAACAGAGGAUGAGUUUUCGACUGUUAAAGAUUAACUUCAUCUUAUGAUGAGGUAAAACUAUAACAAUGAAAGCACAGCUCGUGCUCUUGUACUUCUUUUUGCUUUCAAGGAAUAAAUGAAAAAAGAAAGGUGGGGGGGUUUUUUCCCCACUGUUCCCUCAAAAAAAACUAUAACAAUGAAGUACAUGGAAGAUUCAGGUACAUCCGUGUAGUAUAAGCUAAUGGGCUUAAUUUCAUUCUAACACCAUGAACAUAGAUGUAUCUAACACACAUACUAUAGCUAAUUCAGAGGUAUCACUAUCACAGAAAUAUAUAAUAACAGUAAUCCUAGAAUAGAAGAACACGAUUAACAAGAACGUGAAACCUGAAAAAUGUCUGAACUGAUCAAGGAGGUAGACUGUCCAUACAUCAAAUCUUUACAAAUGGAACACCCUGCCUGAACUCGAGAAACACCAUGACGUACAGCUGAAGGAAUCUAUCCUCCAACCAUCAUGCCUGUCAGUUGAGUUCUGUGAGCUGUUCAUCUGAGGAACCAACGGCAGAUUAGGCAGCAAUGCAUCUCGCCUAGGUAGGACAUGACAAACCCACAGAUGAACAGGGCCUCAGCAAGGAGGAAUCCUAUCGAGAUGGAGGCCCCAGACCUGUGCUCGCGGGCCCGCGAGCAGAGAAACACCACCUGCAGCUAGAGCUCGCGCCUGGAAGAAAUGGAGAGCAGGAGAGGGCGACCUCGGCAGUGGCUGGAGGGAUCUGGGUGGUUCUUGUUGGAAAACGGCCUCCUGUGGUCUGAUGCAAAGGACGGGUGGACAAGAAUGGGAGAUGGUGAGGUUGAGGAUAAGAAGAAACUUAACUGCAUGCCGUCUCGUGAGUCGUGAUUGGCUUUUCUCAACACCGUUUGGUAACUUUUUUUUUUUCUUUGCUUACGCCCUAUUUAGUUCUCACUCAAAAACAUUUUAUCCCAUCACAUGAGAUAUUUAGACACAUGCAUAAAUCAUUAAAUAUAGAUUAAAAAAUAACUAAUUGCACAGUUUGCAUGUAUUUUACGAGACGGAUCUUUUAAAUUUAAUUAGUCUAUGAUUGGGUAUUGACUGCUGAUAUGGUUACAAUGUGAUAAAAUACCUAAAAACUUUUUUUCCAUGAACAGUACCCAAAAAAUAGUCAUCUUUACCACCAACGACCCUUCUGAAACAACCUUCUUUUUCCAACAAAAAAGGUGUGUUUUGUACGAGUAGUUCUCUAUUUAUAUAUAACAAAAAUUCUCGCCCCAUCCAAAUUACAAGUCAUUUUGACUUUUCUAGGUAUAUAUAGAGUAAUUUAACAUACACCCAGAUAUGCAUUAUAUUUAGAUAGAUAAAAUAUAUUUAAACACUUACUAGAGGGGUCCACAAGAGAGGGAUUUGGUAGUCUAUUCAAGGAAGAGAGAAACAAAAAUUGCAUGUAAUGACUAAUAGGAGGAGAUCACCUAUAUAAGGGAUAAAAGACAAGUAAUUUGUUGGAAGUGCUCUACUCCCUACAUAGAAUGCAGCCAUUUCUUGAUAUAAUUUGCCAAGUCCAAUCAGACAUGUCACCCUUCUUUUCCCAAUCAUAAUGCUACCUGAUGUCAUGUUAAAUCUUUGAACGUAUUAACACAGUGGGAUGCCAACGGAUUAUGCUAGGACUAAGAGCAGGUCAUGUUACCAGGUUCGAUGCUGAACCAAAAUAUAUGUCGUAAUAAAGGCACAUUAAUUACUUGGUGCAAAUUGUUAAAUAAACCCUCAUGAUCACUUAGCGAAAGAAAUGACAGUGAAAUGAUGUGCCAGAUCCAACUACAUAUUUAAAGUUCUGAACUUGUGCUGCCAGUUUUUACACAUCUUAUCGACUUGCAAUUAUAGCCAAAUAGCACAUAUAAUUAUGAUAGUCAUCUCUUCAUCUACUAAUAUGUAUUUAGCUAUGUUCAUAUUGAUGUGUCAAACCAUUCAACAAAAUUAAUUUAAGAUAGUUUCAUUCAUAUAACUAUAAUAUAAAUAGUCUAAUUUAUUUUAAAUUAUCUGAAAUUCCCGCAGCAACGCGCAGGUUAUUCUCCUAGUUCAUAUAACUAUAGGUCUAACUGACAGCAUACAACAUGCCCAGUUAGGUGCACUAGAGAUGGCAACCUUGUUGCAGUGAACUUUAGUCUUGAAUUUCCUAACGACGAAGGAUAGUAGAUCCCUAGACAGCCCGAAUUUCCUAGAGCCUCAUAUCAGAAAGUGAAACCUGUACAACAAAAAGAGGUGCAGUAACUUUAGAGAUGAUUGUUAUUUAGAGCAACAUAAAGUUCAUUGCAGGAACAUGCUUCCUUGCUAGGAAAUUCACUAGACCAAGGUUCAGCAUAAUGUGACUGACAUGUUCAGUCAACCCUACAAUGAUUAGUUCUUUGGACAUAGUUCUCUUGCCAUCUUACACUACAAAAAUUUCAACUUCAAACUGCAAUACAUCAAACUACCCUUUUGAGAACAAUGCAGAGCACACACAGAAAGCUUGAACUUUGCGAAGAGAACAUUUGAGUGUGUUCGUUUAGGUCCAAGACAACUGAUGAUGGGAAAAGGGAAUAAAAAGCACCUGGACAUGGGUUAUUCUCACAUCUCUGCAAACUGUACCACAUGGAAAUAAGAACUGACAAAUCAAAACAGGAACAUAUGGGAAUAGUUUAUUGGAUACUGGACAGUCAUGCAUGAACGAGUUCGUAUAUAGACUGGCUACAGCAUGAGUGGUGCCGAAAAGAAUCUCCGUACCCCGUUCAUGCUGAUGCCCAGAAACUAUCAAUUACAACAUUCUACAUCGAUGCUUCAGUGGAUGUGGGAACAAAUUGUCAGAAAUUACAGCCAUUCCCUUCCCUGCCUUCCUAAUCCAUCAGUUGAGAAAUAAUUGUUUAUUUGUACAGCACCAAAUCAAGAGCACUACUCGACUCUUGCAUUUUUUACUUCAGCAUCGGUUCACACAAUGGCAUGACUCGAUGCUUCAACACUUUUCUUUUAGCAUCAGUAAAAAGCAAAUGUUGUGGCUAGUCAUAGAAUUGAGUGAAAGAUGACUCAGUCAAUAGGGGACCUAACUGAGAUCAGGUCUAAGGUGCCUUAAAGAAAAAGGGAAGGCCACAAAACAAUAAAUCAACAUAGUUGUUAUUGCUUAAAGCAAUGAAAUGCUGAUAUUUAUGGUAUUAUUCAGAAGUAACGAGCAAGCCAAAUAUGGGUAGCUCGGUCGUUUUGCGUCCAAUCCAAACUAAUCAACAGGUCAAAGGGUGUUCAUUUGUCAAUAAUUUUGUAGUGAACUUUCAGGUAGAAUCACAAGGAAAGUUGCAAGUUAGCUUACUUAUGUUAAAGGUGCACAGGAACUUCAGAACUUUGAGAACUCUCUGAUCAACAACUUGACACUUGACUUCAACGAUGUUAAGGUUUUCUGAAAUUUUAGCUGAUCUCUCCAUCAGAUUGCACCUUCCUUUCAUUUCCACUUCAUACUUAGGCCCCUGCAGUGAAAUAAAUCAUUUUUUUCCUAGUAUCAAGAAGCAGUGUAUGUGUGCAACAAUUUUCAUAUAUAUGCAGAAACUUCCCAUUAGUGUACCUCAGAAAAGAGUUCAAGUGUAAGCUUCGCAAGAAAUGGUGAGUGUUCAAGAAUACAAGCUAAUGCACUGAAAUCAUCAGGUGUACACCAGUAGUCAUCGAGCAACAAGGUCUUUAAAUUGCUAAACAUAGGGCACCAUCUCAAAUCACUUUCGAAAAUAAUCUGGAAAAAUGCAACUAACAGGUCAGACGAAAUAAUUCUCACAGUACACAAAUACAUGCAAACUAGCAUCUACCCAUGUUGAGUAAUGAUUUAGAUAAUUGAGGAAAUAAUGGGAUGACAUUAAGAGUUAUAAUGUGACUGAAGCAAAGUUUGUCUAUACCUUCUCGGGUACAGAAAUCAACACCAAACUCUGAGCUUUAGAUAAACCUUUUAAAAGCAUAAUAGAACUACCCUGGCUGCUAUCAGAACCGUCACACAACAGGCAAGCACAAUCCAAAUAGUCUGGUCUACUACAGCCAUCCCAGCAAUGCGUGGUUAUUCGGACAAAUGCCUUCACUAAUGAUGGCAUGCUGUCAAAUAUGGGAGUCCUCCCAAAAAAGGAAUCUAGAUGCAGUGAGACCAGGCUUGGGGUAGAAAUGUAAAUGCGGGGUUCAUCUAGUAAAACACAAUCAGUCAAGCUCAGAUGCUUUAGGGACUUGGAAGCGAUCUUGUCAGCCGAAGCGAGAUUACAGUAAACCAGCUCAAGAUGUUCCAAGGCCGGACAGCUGGCGAAGCUGAGAAAACUAUUCUGGAGCUUUACAGAGGAAAGGUCUAGCUUCGUCAGGUGUUGAGAAACGAGAGGCAGGUCGUCUAGCUUAAGAAACUUGUUGAAAAACAAAUGGAGCCUGAGGCUGAGCACCCGAGCUCUUGACAUCACGACAUGACGGAACCAGAGAUUCACCCGUGGCACAUCGUCGUCCUCUAAUUCACUGAACCCAAACUCACAUAUGUCCAGAGGCAAACUUCCACGGAGGAGGAGCAGAUGGUCCACAAACUCCCGCUGCUCCUUCACCCGUCUCCCUUCAUCCUCACUGCUGCAGCAACCGAUGCGCAGGCCAGUUGCGGUCCUCCAGAGGUGGCGCCAGCGCCGAGCGAGAACACAAGUCUGCACGGCCUCCGGCGCUGGGAGGAAGCCGAGGAUGUGCCCAAGUACGCCGUCAGGCAAGGCGUCGAUGCAGCCUCCGCUGCCGAGCGCUGAAGGCACAGAUCUCUUGCUACUUUCCCCUGGAUGCAUUGUGUCGAGCAGGUGUCGGGCGCGUCGAAGAUACUGGACCAAGAAACACUCAGAUCAUCACCAGAGAAUGCGAGAGGGAGUGGGGGAGAGGAAGACGGAUGACGGAGGCCAGUGGCGGACUCGUGAAGGCGGAGCUGGCGACCGUGUGCUGCGACGGGCCCAGGCAGGGGCGCAGCCGCGGGGCGGGGGCGGCGGGACACUGCCGGCAGCCGGCCGCCUUAGGGUUCCCAGCGGCUGAUGUUUUUUCUUUUUCCUCGAUGGAUUUUUUUUUUAUGCGGGGCCGAUGGAGACGAGAAAUUUUACUUACCUGUUAUUAUAAAAAUUGAUAAUUUUCAUUGUUAAAAGUACUAUCACUCUAAACUCUUUUACUCUUUUAUGUCACUUCUGUUAUAUUUAUCUCUAACAGUAUCAAAUUGCGAGUAUGAAAAGUCAAAAAUAUCUUGAGGUCUAAAUAUGUAAUUAUUUCUUUUGAGCAUUUUAUUGACCUUAAAUGAAAAGACUCAGAACUAGAAAGUUGUAUAUCUCGACAAAAUCUAUAACUUUUAUAUAAAAAUUAUCUUCAUUGAAUUUCGUAAAAAAUAUAAUUUGAUAUCAUUAAUAUGUCUUAGAAAAAUCAUACUUUUAAUACGGAAUCAAAUAAAAAUACUUUUUAUUAAUAAGAUCUACAACUUUUUAGUUUUGAGUUUUUUUCAUUUAAGAUUAUUAAGAUGCUCAAAACGAAUUAAUUGUAUAUUUAAAUAUGAGGUUAUUUUUGACUUUUUAUACCUACAAUUUAACAUGGUUAGAGCCAAAUUUGACGGAAGUGGCGUAGAGAGCAAAAAAGCUUAGAGCAGAGACACCUAUGAGAACUCAACUUUUUUAAUGACUUGUGGUAACUACCAACUUUUAUAAUGUCAUACAUGUAAAAGCCUCAAAAUUUUGAAAUUUAAUCUGUAUUCAUACGUCUCUUAACCUCAAAUAUAUAGAUCUUGUGAAAUAUAACCUACCGUAUGUAAAAUAUUUUAAUAUUUAAAUUUUUUAAGUUUUUCUUAAUUUUCGCCUUGUUUAGUUUCAAAAGUUUUUGCAAAAUGGACACUAUAGCAUUAUCGUUUGUAUUUGACAAAUAUUGUCCAAUCAUGUAUGACAAAUAUUGACAAAAUGGACAUUAGACUCAAAAGAUUUGUCUCGCAAAUUACAGGUAAACUGUGCAAUUAAUUAUUUUUAUCUAUAUUUAAUAUUUCAUGCAUGUGCCGCAAGAUUCGAUGUGACGUAGAAUGUGAAAAAUUUUACAAAAUUUUUUGGAAAUAAACAAGGCCUUUAUUUAGUAAUUUCUUGAAUCUCUCUUCAUGGUUUAGGGCUUUAGGCUACCAAAAAGACGAUGUUGCCCCUUUUAGCGGUCAGAUGGCAGCACGCUCGCCCAGGUCGACGGUUCCGUUCCCAGCUGGUCGGUAUGCUCUCCCAGGCUCGGCUCCCUGUAGCGUCCUCAGCCAAUCCUUGCUAUUAGUUUUCAUACUUCCCAAGAGUCAAAUUUUACGCAGAUCUAAUAUUUAUACUUAUAAAAUAAAAAUAAGCAACAUCCAUAUGGUCAGGAGAAAACACGCUCUUUUAUAAUAAUAAGAAAAAAAAAGCAAUAAUCGCAACUCCAAUCAAGAUCAAUACACAAACUAGCUUAUACAUAUACACAUACAUACGGUACACGUCAAAUUAGUACUACUACUACUACUAGUACCUUUUUUUAGCACUAUCAAUUACUAUAUUGAAGUAUAUGCUUGAGCAAAAAAAGUCUCAAAAAAAAAAACAUCGGCCUAAUGCAAACGGGAACUCUCGACUCUGCGAGUCACGACGGGGAAGGAGAGACCGGCAGCAACGUUUGAAAUGACAGACUCUGGGUCAGGAUCAUCUUUUCUGGUAGCCCAAACGGUAAGAAGAAACCCCAGAAAUUAUAAAAGAGAGAAAAACUCGAAAAUCCUAGCUAUCAAAAUAACUCGCGUACCCAGAGUUAAAUUUCAGAAGACCUGUGAAUUCAGAGUUAAAUGUUGAGAGGCACACGAAUGUAGGGUUAAAUAUAUAUCGAGAAUGGGGAAUACGAAUUGGGAAAGGCCAGAUGGACCUUCGGGUGUUUGAUAUGGGCUUGGAUGCGGGCUGCUUUGCAUUUGGAACAAAUCAAAGCCACAAACUAAUAAUUUGAGUUUAUUAUUAUAUUAUAUUUACUUCCGUCCUAAAUUUUAAGUAAAUUCAACUUUUGUGAGUUAGGACAUCUGAUCAAAUUUAUAGAAUAAAAUAAUAAUAUUUAUGGUAUCAAAUAAGUAUGACUAGAAAAGACACGCGGCGUUGUCGCGUUGGCUAGUAUGAGACCAUUUAGGCAUUGCCACAUAGGUUAGUAUGAGACCAUUUAGUAUAAUAAAUUUAACUAAUUGAUAAUUUAUUUGAAUAUAACUUAGGUACAAGUAUUGGUUCGCUUACUGUGUUUCCGAAAAAGUCCCAUGUCAAAAGAAGUGGUCAUUCCAAUAGAUUGCAGCUGAUUAUAUAUCAUAUAUAUGCAACAAUUCUCAGUAUUGAACUCUGAGUGACAAAAUUAUUCUCGAAUGGGAGCAUAUAACAAAGAUGCGAUAAUUAUAUAAUUUUAUAAACUGAGCUACGCUCACCUAGUUAGGUUCGGUGAACUUAUUGUGCCAGAGUUUGUUAAUUAUGUCCUUUUUUGCACUGUAUUAUUAUUACAUUUGGCGAUAGACUGGUAUUUCAUACGUGGGGUAAUAUUUUGUGUAGGCGAAUGCAUAUUGUUUUAGAUCGUAAAGCCGGUAAAAUCACUCAAUCAUUUUAUAUUAUGCAUGGUAGGGGUGAGCUACCAUAAAAAUUUCAUACCAAUUACAAUAAAGAAACAAACUAUAUUAAUUAUUUACAUAAAACUCUAGAGAAAUCUACAUCCACAUUUAUAUCAAUAAAAUUACACUAAAACAUAUGAUUUUAUGUGUUUAUGGUGCAGUGCUAGUUGUGUAGAGUUCAACAAAUUUGGUUUGAUAUAUUUUUUUAUUUGUAUUUGUUUUAUGAUGACAUUUAUAAAAUUAGAUUCGGAGAAAAAUAAAAAACGGUGUCAGGAAGAAUUUGACCCACUAAGGCCUAGGUUCGAUGAUAUUACAGGCCCAAGCAGGAGGCAGGCCGGCCCAUAAAAGGGCUUGGAUUGCGGGUUGAUUUCAGUAAAGUUCAAGGACUUUUCUAAACAAAAACCUAGGAGGAGACGUGGACUGCGGGUUGAUUCUACUAAAUUGAAGGACUUUUUUGCAAAAAGACCAGCACUUGCACGAUCCAACCCAUCCACCUGGCCAAUCUGGUGGCUGAGAAAAGCGGGCGACGUGACCAUGCUGGCUGGCCUUCUUUUGGUGCAUUAAUCAUUUUUAGGAGAUUAUAUUAAUUAAUUAAUUAUAUUAUAUUUUCAUAGCAAACAUAUUUGAUGUCGUAAACCUUUGUAAUUAAACUUGGUGAUGUUUUGACUCUCUAGGAAAUUUAGACCAUAUUAUAAUUUGGAAUAUAGGGAGUACAUGUAGAGAUUACCACACUACACUAUAAGAAGAGCACAUUAUUAGAGAAUACGGAAGCAUCAACGAUCAUCUAGGUUGAACAUUAAAUUAAGUCUCCUUCAAUAACAUAGGAAGUGGCACCCUCAAACCUAACCAACAAACCUCAGAUGUUGAUUAAAACAUACAAACGACUCUACAACCAACUAGUAUGUACAAAAAAAAAAUGAUUGAAGCGUACAACAUGUGUGUAUGCUACUCCCAUCCUGCCAGGCAUCCCCGAAAAGUACAUGAGAUGGGGAAAACAAGCGUAUGUGGUUUAUAGAAAAAAUCUCAGCAAGCAAACUGCUUCAACCAAGUUAUUUAAAUCAUAGUUUGGUUAAGCAUGAAAUUUAAAUUGUAUAAUAAUAGAGAUAUCAAUUACUUCAUAGAAAUAUAAAUAUACUUCCUAAGUGCAAUGCAAAUGAUGCAAUGUAAUGCUUGACUUCACUUUUACCCACACGUCCCAAGGAGAGGAAGUGAGGGCUGCAACCAUAAUGCUCAUUAAUGUGCGUUGCUGCAACCACACUGCUUAUCAAAUGUGCGUUGUUGUACCAGUACUUAGUGCACCAAUUCGGCUACAAUUUCUUCAAGUGCAUAUCAAUAGAAAGUGCAAAUGCAAAUGUUGCAAUGUAUGCACUUCAUAUACUUCAUAAUUGAAAGGUAAUACCACAAAAUAUGAAAAAUAGUAUACUUCAAAGUAAGUAAAUAACUUAAUUUCUCAGAUGAUCUAGGAAUAGGUGCUUAGAGUCAGUGUGAUGGCAAUGGAGAAGAGUGUCCAGAUGGCCCUACAAGAUCAUUCGGGGGUUAUUUCAACAUUACUUUAAGGGCUAAAAUAUCAAGUUUUAUUGUUGAGAGUCAAUAAAUAUAAUUUGUUUGGCUAUUCUAAGUGAUUCUUUUUCUUGGUAAAGAAGAACUUAUCAUUGAUAAUUCUUGGGUUCACGAAUUUUUCUAUAACUUAAAUGAUUCAAUAAACCUUUUUGUUAUCCUUUUAGUUACUGAUUUUUUUGUUGGAUUUUGACGAACUAGUAAUAAUUUGUUGGGUCUACAAUAAUCUUGGAUGGGCUCCUAACAAGCUAAUUUUCACUAGUUUUGUUUGUAGUUUCCCGUGUAAUGCUAGACACCUGCUAGGAAUUUUAGAUUAUAUAGUGAACUCUUGAUAUAUACUCCCACUGUCCCUUUUAAUUGUCACCAUUGAUGUGCGUGCACAAGUUUGACUCGAUUUGUAAAAUAUGUGCAACAUUUGUAUCUCCAAAUAAAUUUGUUAAAAAAUUAGAUUCAAAGAUCUUUUUAAUGGUACUAAUUAUGUAUUAUAAAUAUUAAUAUUUUUUAAUAUAUAAUUGCCGGGAGUUAUUUUUUUGAGAAGCGCAAAAGCGACAAUUAAAAAGGGACGGAGGGAGUAUGUUACAAGGUUAUGGAGACUUUUUAAUAUGCAUUGUCAGCUAAGCUACCUUUAAAACCAUCCUAGGGUUUAUUUAGACGAAUUUCAAUAGUAGAGGUGUAGAAUUUGAUCAAGUUUAUAGAAAAUAGUAUCAAUAUUUGUAUCUACAAAUAGUGGCGGGUCCAGAAAUAGUACAAUUCUAGGUUUUGAACGAGUCAAAUUUUCCAUAAUUUGAUCAUGUUUAUAUAAAAAAUAUCAAUGUCUACAAAUAGUGAUGGAUCCAAAAAUGAAAGAGGCUGAAUAGUAGGAUGCUAGAAAUUUACUAGUCAUACACUAAAACAUAUAACAUAUAUAAUAAAGAACAUAAAGUAUGAUGUCAAGUCAUAAAACUCAAGCAAUACGUAGAACAUUGAGGAUAGAAAAAUACCAACUAAAAAGAAAAUAUUUUGAUAACUGAAAGAUUCAUAUUCCCUUCAUCCUAAAAAGGAUAUAACUAUAGGGAUUUGUACUAGUCAAUUUUGAUAACAGAUCGCAAAACAAUUUCACAUGAACUACGAGUGCAAAAGUGAGAUAUAACAUGUCUAUGUGUCCAUACCAACUUGAUUAUAAAAUUCUCCCCAAAUUACCGGCUAGACAAAAGACAGCAGCCUUGUCGCAGCAAACAUCAAGCUAGCAUUCACUACAUUGAGACAUGGCAGACCCACCAUCAAGGCAUCAAGCCAAAUUUUCUUGCACGUCAGAUCAAAACCUGAAACCUACAGAGAAAAGAAGACAAACAAGUUCAGAAUUGGAUGAACAUGAUUUCCAAACACAAAAGUGUUAGAAUUAUCAAAAGAUCACUUGAGGGUAUUAAUUCAGAUGAAAAUGGCUACCUGGAGAAUGUUGGAACAGCCACUAGAGAGGAGAGAGAGAGCGCCCCUGCUGGCGAUGGCGGACUCCGCCCCCGCCGUCCCGUUGCAGCCCCAGAUCCUCCGCCGCGGCGAGCCCAUCCCGCAGAUCCAUCCUAUCCCCGUCGCCCUCCACACCUCCAAUGGUCCUCCGUACACAGAUGACUCUGCAAGCAGCCCCGACAUGGGAGAUCGAAGCGCGCCCCAGUUUGAGACCCCGCCGCCGCCGCCGCCGUUCCACACGCGUCGGUCCGAGCUGGAUGACGACCUGGUGAUCCCAGCCACGUCGGAGGCUACCUUCUUGCAGACGGCUCAUCCCUCCUACGCGGACAUCGUCAAGCGACACAAGACUGAAGUUAAGGAAGCACACCUACCCCGGCGCCCAACGGCUCGCAUCCUCCAGUCCACCAUUACUACGCCGAAGGGGAGCACUUACUACGGGUGUGGCUCCGCUGACGAGCCGUCUCGUCGUCUCCGCACGGACGACGCGCCCCGAGGCCGCCAUGACGACCCGUCACCUCGCCGUGCGGCGCUGCAUCGGCAGCCUGCCCCUGGCGCCUUCAAUUCGACUGAAGCAGAGUGGUUCGAGGCCAGAGUGAAGCACUGGUGGCGCAAGCUGCGCCGCGGGUCAACUGAUGAAGCUCUGCGAUGCCGCAGAGCGUCAAAUCGCGCGUCGCGUCCACUUCAAGGCCGCCCGCCCGCUAAGUCUGCUGUUUCUUCACCGGCGCUCCGUGCCGCCUAAAAACAGCUGGAAAGUGUUUCAAGUGCCUCGCUUCUGACCACCGCGCUGCGUCCUGCCGAGACCCCGUCCGCUGCUUCCGCUGUCUUGGUCUGGGACACCGCGAGAGAGAUUGUAGGCGCCCCGGCACACAACGCCCAAGCAUACCUGCGCAGCGUGCCUGCAAGGAAGGCCUUCCCCCGCCGCCGCCGCUGCCGCUGCCGCCGCCGCCGCGCGCGGGCCAAGCUAUGGCGAUGCUUGGCGACCCGGAGACAAGGCCUGAUGAGGACGAAUGCCUCAUCCCAACCUCGUUCGCCACUGAGGCGAGCCGACGCGAGUGGGAGGACACCGGUGCUGUCUCCUGGGCCAUGUCUGGGCCUCCCAACACCGGCCCGAGGGAGGUCGAGGCGGCCAUCCGCGAUGAGUUCCGCCUGCGGCACGGCGAAGUGGUCGUCACCAACCACAGCCCCCAAGCGUUCCUCAUCAAGUUCCAGCAUCGGCAUCACUGCAGCAGGGCCCUGCAGCAGGGCUUCGCCAAGCGCCACGGCAUCGAAAUCCACUUCGUCAAGUGGCGCAGCCUCGCCAACUGCUUUGGUGUGUCUCUCCUCUUCCGUGUCAGGCUCUGCCUCGACGGCGUGCCCAGACAUGCCUGGGAUGAUGACAUUGUGGAGCGCAUCAUUGGGAGGCGCUGUGCUUUGGAGUCCAUCGACACCGACCUGCUGCACCCAGCUGAGACAAAAACCAUUGAUCUCUGGGCUUGGACAGCAAACCCAAGCCUCAUCCCCAAGAAAGUUUGGCUCACCUUCACCAACCGCGCCAAAGACGCCAAGCUUCAGUCAAUCCUGGUGACUGAGACGCCGCCUGAGCACUUGCAACAAGGCACCAAGCAUCCUGUCAUCAUCCACCUGGAUGAAAUACAUGACUACACUGCCUCCACCAUCGACGACAAAGGCAACAUCUCCCCAGGUAAAAGACGUCUCCCAAAAUGGCAUCUAGGUGUUGUUGAUGGAGAACAGGUUCCCGCCCGUGCUUUCGAGGAGUUCCCGCAUCACCCGCCGCCGCCCAGGCGCACUCACAAGGAGGGGCCGCUCACCAGGCGGCCUGACAACAGGUCCUCCAAGGGGACAAAGGGGCGCUACAACAACGACCACCCCGACUUCUACAUGGGUCGUGGCAAGCACCACGAGGACGACGACGACUACGACACCUCUGGCCGGGGUGGCCGUGAUGACCCUGGCAGGUUUAGCCGGGGUGAUCACAGCGGUGCUGGUGGUUACCGCGAACGCGACCGCUCCCCUCCACGUCGCCUCUGGGCACAUGGCAACAGGCAGGGAGGACGCCAGAGGGCUUCCAGCGCCCUCGAACAGGCUGUGGUGCAGCCAGCUGAGCUACAGGUGCCGGCCAAACUUCCCCAACUGAAUGUCUUGCAGGUGACUGAGGAGGCUGAGCUGCAACGCCUCUUCAGAGCCCAUGCCAUGGCCCUCCAAGGAGCUGUGCAGCGCAUCGUGGACCGUGCGGGUGGCCACCACGCUAGAGAGACGGCCUCCCUGCUGAAGUCACUCAUGUACGACUACAUCGACAAAGCCUCUGCGCUAGCUGGCGGGCUCGGGCUGAUCCAAGCCCCGCCGGAAGCUGCUACGCCGGGAAAUGAAGCCUGGUCCAAGUGGCCACCCCAGCCAGCUCCGACACACCAAGCUACUCACGCCACGGUACCCGUGCGUGACGUCUUCGGCCGCAUCCUCAGCACGCUACCACCGAAGGCAACAGUGGAAGACAACUCCAUUGCUGCGGUCGAGAAAGCACUGGCGCGCAUCGAGCUCUCUGCAAGGGAGAGCCCCACAAUUCAGGUGCCACAACCAACAUCUCCUUCUCACCUCUGCAAUUCAGAAUUAUCUCCAGAGCAGGGUCCCAGCGAUGUAGCUCUCCGUGAUCAAUUCAGCACCCAACCAUCACUCACCCCUGCUGCCACUACACAGGGUGACAGCAGCGGUGGCCAGCAGCUAACCAGCAGCGUCGUAGCACUCUUCAGCAAGCCGACGGAGCCGCUGCUCCAACAACCUCAGCACGCAGCUGCUGUCGUGCCAACACCGGCCUGUGCUGGGCCUAGGCGUCGCAGACGCCAACGUGCCUUCGAUAUGUCUGCGGUACGACGCAGUGCGCGCCUAGCCAACGCUAGACCCAUGUCCCAGAUGCAGCGUGCCCAGAAAAAUCUUUGCCGAAAACUUGGCCUACUGCAUGAUGACCUUGAACCUGUGGAAAAUGCUUUGCAGGAUUACAUCGCCAUGUUCAAUGGCCCGCUGCCGAUGGACACCAUCGCCGCACUGACGGAGAUAUUCAACCUGGACACUGAAGAGACGAAUGAUGCUGAUGAUGCGCUGCUUCGCAUGGUGGGUGAAGGAGUCGAAGAACUCCGUGACGCAGCCAUCCUCACUGCAGCGGCCUAACAAGCAUUACAGGCUGCACAAUUCGCGUCCAGACAUUUAAAUAUGUAUCAAGCUACCUUUUUUCAGAAUUUGUUCAAGUGCUUCGUACUUUCCGUCGUCGUCGUAGCUCGGGCGGUAUGCCUGUUUGCAAAUUUGUUGAGACGUCCUGAGUUAUGUAUGCCUAAGACUUUCUUCAGUAUGCAUCAACUUUGCUUCACAACCACCGGUGAUGCCUUCAGAGCUGCUUUGUUACUCCUGUAUGCCUGGAGUUGCAGAUCAGUCUUCAGUGAUCUGCCUCCAAUUAUGCAAUGUUCCUACAGGCUGCCUUUCAUGCGUACUUUACCCCUCCAUGGUUGCACAGAGUAUUGACCUUUUAUCCUGGAAUGUUAGAGGGCUAAACCAGCAAGCUAGAAGAGAUAUUGUUCACCAGAUAAUAGCUGCAACGUCAUGCAACAUUGCAUGCCUGCAAGAAACUAAACUGUCCCAAAUCUGUCAAUACGAUGCCUCAUAUCUUGGUGGCUAUCGCCUGCGUCAGUACGCUUAUAAGCCGGCAUCAGGGCCUUCUCAAACGCGGGGGGGCAUCAUCAUACUAUGGAGCGACUGCCGUGUAAGCUGCACUGACAUCACCAUUGGAGAAUUCCAUGUCUCCAUGAAUGUUCAACUGAAAGACUUGAACACCAGCUUCCUGCUUACUGUGGUAUAUGGGCCAUCACGUCGUCGUGCGGACAAGUUACGAUUCCUCGAUGAAUUAAAAGCACUAAAGCCAGCGCCUAGCACGCGGUGGCUCAUCACAGGCGACUUCAACCUCAUCUACAGAGCCGCUGAUAAAAACAAUAGGAACCUAAGCCCACGCCUAAUGCGCCAUUUUCGCGAGGCGCUAGAUGAGUGUGAUCUUGCUGAAAUUAGCCUGCAGAACCGAAAGUUCACUUGGAGCAAUGAGAGGCAUCAACCCACGAUGUCAAGGCUCGAUCAUUUUUUCUGUAACACAGAUUGGGACGCCACCUUUAGCACCCACACCCUGAACGCGUUGUCGACAUCACUCUCCGAUCAUUGCCCUCUUUUGUUAUCUGACCAAUCAGGACCUAGAACGCCUAGCUCAUUCAAGUUUGAAAACUUCUGGAUCAGACUCCCGGGCUUCAAAGACGUUGUCAAGAAUGCAUGGGAUACUACAUUGGAGCACCAUGAGCCGUUCCAUGUCCUGUACCACAAGCUGCGCUCUACCUCACAAGAGCUGAAAGCAUGGAGUAAGGAAAUUAUCUCUGAUGCCAAAAAACUUUUUUUCAUGGCGCAAGAGAUCAUCCUAAGGCUUGAUAUUGCCCAAGAAAAUAGGAAUCUCACGGCUGCUGAACUGUUGCUGCGGGCAAAGCUCAAAAAAAGAAUUUUGGGGCUAGCAGUGAUCGAAAGAGCUAGGUCCAAGCAGGCUUCGAGACUGUCGUCCAUCAAGCUGGGCGAUGCCAACACAAAAUUUUUCCACCGCAGAGUAAAUGCGAGAAGGAGGAAAAACUACAUCCAGAGGUUGAGGCAUGGCCAGGGUUGGGCGAUAAACCAUGACGACAAAGCCUCUAUAAUACAGGACCAUUUCUCGAACUUCAUGAGGCACCCUCCAGAACGGCAGCAGGACAUAAAUUGGGACGAGCUGAAUCUGCCAUCGCACGAUCUGAGCGGACUUGAUGCAGUGUUCACCGAAGAGGAGAUAAAGCUUGCUAUUCAACAAAUGCCAUUUGACAAAGCACCGGGGCCAGAUGGAUACACUGGUGCUUUUUUCAGAUCGUGCUGGGACAUCAUCAAGGUCGAUGUCGUCAAUGCGGCAAAUGCCUUCCAUUCACUGCGUACAAGUAGUCUUGCGCUCCUCAAUUCAGCCAACGUGGUGUUGAUCCCCAAAAAGGAUGGCGCUGAAGCUAUUACUGACUUCCGACCCAUUAGUUUAAUCCAUUCCUUCGCUAAAAUACUCGCCAAGGUUCUCGCACUACGGCUAGCACCCCAUAUGAGCUCCAUUGUCUCCCCAGCACAAAGUGCUUUCAUCAAAAGGCGAAGCAUCCACGACAAUUACAUGGCUGUCCGCAACGCGAUAAGACGCUACCAUAAUUCUAAGCUACCAACUAUAUUCCUUAAGCUCGACAUCACCAAAGCCUUCGAUUCAGUAAGAUGGGAAUAUCUCCUCACGCUGUUGGAUAAACUCGGUUUUCCUAGUCGAUGGCAAGACUGGAUCGCGGCGCUUCUAUUCACCUCGUCGACGAGGGUGCUAUUGAACGGCAUCCCAAACGCGCCUAUCAAGCAUGGCAGAGGGCUUCGUCAGAGCGAUCCGCUAUCACCUCUGUUGUUCGUCAUAGCAAUGGAUCCACUGCAGAAAUUGCUCGAUCUGGCAACCGAAAAAGGAUUUUUGUCUAGGCUAAGGGGAAGAACAACCCAACUUAGAGCUUCAAUGUAUGCUGAUGACACGGCCAUCUUCGUGAAGCCAACAAGGAAAGACAUCUUAGCUUUGGCUGAACUCCUAACAUUAUUUGGCGAGGCUUCAGGAUUGAAAACUAACUUCCAAAAAUCGACAUUAAUCCCUAUACGAUGUGAAGGAUUAAAUCUUAAUGAAAUCCUUGCUGGCUCACCGACGGAAAUUUCAUGCUUCCCAACUAAAUACCUAGGCCUGCCGUUAACACCUCAGCGACUAAGGCGAGUGGACUUCCAGCCUCUGGUAGACAAAACGGUCAGCAAACUCACUAUAUGGAAUGGGCGCCAAAUUAACCCGGCGGGUCGCUCGACCCUAGUUAAAGCUGUCCUUACUUCGCAAGCAGUCUACUUCCUCACGUCCCUCCGUGCGCCAAAAGGAAUAAUCAAGGACAUCGAUCGGCAGAGAAAGAGAUUCCUGUGGGCAGGUGCUGAAACGCUAACAGGAGGAAAGUGCAAGGUCAAUUGGCCGAGGUCAGCUAGACCCAAAUACUCUGGAGGCUUGGGCAUCCUCCACUUGGGGAAAUUCGCAAGGGCGCUAAGAUUGCGAUGGCUGUGGCGACAAUGGUCUCCAAAUUUUGAUGGUAGACUUGGGGAUGAGACCCCAUGCAACAAGACUGACAAGCUUCUCUUUGCGGCAUCCACGACAUUGACAAUAGGGGAUGGGGGAAAAGCGUUGUUCUGGACAAGUGCAUGGCUUGACGGCCAACGGCCUUGUGACGUUGCGCCACACCUAUUCUCCACUUCCAGAAGGAAGAACAGAACUCUGCAACAGGCACUCCGUGAUAAUAAUUGGAUUCGUGACAUCAACAUUCAGCAUCAAAGUUUCUCUGCCCAACACUUAGUUGAGUACACACACCUUUGGCAAGCAACCAGGCGCAUAACUCUAAGAACGGGCACGCCAGAUAGCCUUGCAUGGAAAUUUGAGGAAAAUGGCGAAUACACAGCAUCCUCUGCUUACCACGCCCAAUUUGUUGGUGCAACUAAAAACACCUUUGAGGCACUCAUUUGGAAACCUUGGGCGCCACCCAAAUGCAAAUUCUUUAGCUGGCUUGCGAUUCAGAAUCGAGUUUGGACUGCAGAUAGAUUGGAAGCUCGGAGAUGGCCAAACCAACGAACUUGCACUCUAUGUCGACUCCAUGUGGAGUCAGGCCUGCACCUGUUCAAGGACUGCAGGUUCACGAAGCGCCUGUGGAAGGGAAUCUCCACAUGGGCGCAAAACUCCUACCUGCACCCAAGUGCAUGGCCGCCAAGCAACACGACCGAGGAAUGGUGGAUGGCGAUAUCAAAUGCGCCGAGUACAAGUAGGAAAGGCCUACGUUCACUCAUUAUACUAGCUUGCUGGGAGAUCUGGAAGGAGAGAAAUGCGAGAGUGUUUGAGCACAGAGAGUCCGCCAAUUUUGUGGUACUUCAGAAAAUCAAAGAUGAGGCGAGGUUGUGGAUUUUGGCAGGAGCAAAGCACCUCUCUUCUUGCAUCCAACGACACCAUCUUCGUUCUGUACCCUAGUUUUUUGAGCUUCUUUUUGUUGCUUUGCUUUGCUUACUUGUCGUCGGUUCUUUUAGCUGUGUAUAGAGCCCAGUUGGCUGGGGUUGUAUAGUGCCUGUCUAGGCGAUCUCUUCUUUUUAAUACAGCAGGCAGCUCUCCUGCCGGUUCGUUUCAAAAAAAAAAAUUCAGAUGAAAAUGAACUGACAGAGAAAAGGGAGCAAAAUCUACAGGGCAUGGGUUAUUUUCAGAAAUAUAGAAGCAGAAGGUCAGGUUAGCUCAUGUAUGCCAAAUGUGCAAAGGAAUUGGAGAACUUUGAGAACUCUGUCAUCAACCUCUUGACACUUGAUUUCAACUAUAUUGAUUAAUUCAUGUUUUAUAUGCCAAUUAGGGUAUUAGUGAUGCUAAUGGAUAUAUUUUAUUUUAACUAGUGAUCAUAUCAUGUCAAAUUUAGUUCUGAUGCAUAUUUAUUAUGGUCCAAUUAGCUGUUCUUAAUUUUAAAAAGGAAUAAUUAGUCACUAUUUUUUUUAAUCUCAUUCACUCUCAUCUAUCCAAUCAAAUAUAAAAAAAUGACUUGUUCCACAUAUCUAAUCAAACACGCAGUAUGGAUAAUCUCAAAAUCCUAUAAAUAACCAUAUCAUACUUUUGUUGUGUUAGUUCCUUCAAUCUAUGUGGCUCAGUACUUUUUUUCUAAGGAAAGGUUACUGCAUGCGGUUGCGCCCCUGUUGGAGCGCACGACUCCCUAGCCUAUGUGCCUGCAGCCCAUGUUUCCUAGGCCAGCAGGACCAUAGUACUCGACAUGUUGUUGUCGUGGACAGGCCGAUUUGUGGGUGUCUAGGUACGGCCCAUUUGUAUAAUUUUCUUUAAGUUUCAUUAAUUUAGUUUUUUAUUUAUUCUUUUCUUUCUAGUUAAAUGAGUUUUUAUUUUUAGUUUUCAGUCAAGUUCUUUUGUCAGUGUUUUAUAGUUUCAGUUUUCAGUCUUAUUUUUUAAAUGUUUAUUUUUGGUUCCAUUUUCUAGUCACCCAUUUAGGUUUGAAUGUAUUCCUAAAUCCUACAAUUUUUUGUUUCAAUUGGCAGCCAGCUAUGCUUCCUGACUCUUGUAAUAAAUGCCCUUAUUUGGCAGCAGGUCAUGUUUUCUGGCUUUUUGUAAUGUGUUGGAUAAUAACUUGUCCUCCUAGUUGGUAACUUGCGCAAUGCUCGUUUUAAUAAUUUUCUCCUUCAGGUUGCAGCUUUUCUUUGUUUUGAUUCACUACUCUUGUUAGGGGUUAGUACGCUUAUGUAAAUACUAUAAAAUUUUUCUUAUAUUCUCAUGGUAACAAUCAAUGCAACUCCUUUUGUAAAUCUCCUAGCACAUUUUUACACAUAAAUUGCUACUAAAAUAUUUUUUUUUUUCGAAACAUAGGCAUAUGCGAUCUAGUUUUGUUAGCCUCAUCGCGUAGAACAUAUCGGUGCAAACGGAUAUUACCAUUCAUGAGUUAUAAUAAUUUAAAUAUAUUUUUUUGCUUUUUUUGUUUGUGUGUCAGUAUGCAAUAAGAAGAGAGUUGGGGGUUCGGAGGGGAUGGAGUGGGAGGGGAAAGGUAUGUGGCCAGAGUCCUAAGCUUGGGGGUGCAGAGGAGGGCUCUAGGUCCGGUGGUGCUUGCGGACAGGACAAACUCACAGUGGGGAUCACCCACUUGAUGUUUGCACUAUAGCUUGCAGGUUCUCCCAGUCCUUUUUUAGGCCGAUAUAUAUUUUCACGGUUGCAUUUGGUCUGCCCAAAUAUGCUUCUUGCUUCACUUGUCCGUAGGGAUAGACCCAUGGUCAGACACCCAGCUUUGCUGGGCUCAUCUUCUAUGGACUCUUAAGGCCCACUACAUCUUCCAAGCUGCAAUUGUGAGCCUUAGUGGCAUAGGAAGAGCGAGUAAAUGUGCGACGACGAAUGAAAGCAAGGAGACGCUCGGUGGUGGUAGCGACGCUCCUAAUUCCAAGAACCACACCUAGAGACACAAAUCUCUUGGCAUGGCUACAGUUCAACGACGUUCUCAAUCACUAAUUUAUUUGCAACACUCCAACUUCUUAUGGCUCUGGCUCCUCCUGCAAAACAAGUAUAGCAGUGUCGGUUCACAAGAGCCACUUAUUUUGUCUCUCCUCACGAAAUAAACUGGGAGCCUAAAGAAGCCACGUUUUGUGGCUCAUCUAGUACUGUAGCAUGAAGCAGAAGCUGGAGAAACCCUACCAAACAUGCCAUAUUCUUGGUGCUGUUCUUUCCUGCAGCGACCUAUCUGUAAGUUGUGCCAAACACCAGCCACCGGGUGCUGUAGCUCCGCACAACUGCUAUCAUCCAUCCAAUGAUCUAGUCAGAGGCAGCAUCCCUCAGCGGCGUUACCAGACUGGUCUUCUCAGUUUGCAGUAAAUAGCAGAUAGACAGAGGAAACAUAGCCAGAUAGGUAAUUAGAUAAAUUUGGGCAUGAUUUGAUAGUUGAUGAUUUGGUUGAUUAAUUCCUUUUAGCGUUUAAUUAUUUUAUAAUAAAUCUAAAAUUUGAUUUAGGAAUGUGGUGUUUUUUUUUGGUUGAUACGAGGAAUCAUGGAAGUGGAAGUCAAGAAACUUCAGAAAACUCAAACUAAGAAGAGGCACAACCACAUGAAGGUGAAGUGCCAAAUCCAGAUCAUCAUCAGCAACCAGAACCAAAUAUCGGCAGUGUAGCCGGAAUUAUUCCCGUCCGAACGUUCGGACGGGAACCUUCCUCCGAUGAUUCCGGCUCUUUUUUUCCCGCGCCGAAGGUUGUAGACGCAUGUGCGCCUGGGCGGCCGACCGACAGCAGCAGUUCCCACACGUGUAGUUUAUUGUGCAUGUUCUUUGACUGUUUCUACUGGCCGGGGACGUGUUCUGGGAGCCCAUGUGAUCAGGUACGUGGCUUUCUUUUCCUUUUUUUUAUUUUUUGUUUUCUUACGUUGCUUUUUAUUAUUAUUAUUAUUUUAUUUUGUAUUAAUUCUCUUUAUUUUUAUUAUACUCUAAUUGUUUUUUAUUCCUUUUUUAUUUUUCUAUGUUCACCCGUAGGUUGAUAUAUUUAUCUAAUUGUGUUUUUUUCUAUAUUUCAUUUUAUUAAUCUUUUUUUUCUAUUUCUAUUUAUUUUUUCUUUCUUUUUCUAUUUUUCUGAUGUUGCUUUUUAAUUGCUAUAUGAACUAUUUUUAUAUUUAUUUUUAUUUUUAUUUUUGUUUUUAUGUUUAUUUGAUAUGUUACAUAAGAUACAUAUAUCUUAUAGUUUUUAAAAUUUUCUUUUUUUUUAUUUAUUUAAGUUAUUCAUUGAUCUUAUUUUCUUUAUAUAUUUUCAUUUAUAUUCAUGUUCUAUGUGAAUUUUUUACUUAGUUAUUUACACUAAUUAAUUACUUGUAUAUUUAUAUUUAAUAUUUCUAUAUUAUAUGAGAUACAUGUGAUGUUUAUGUAAUAUAAAUGUGAUGAUCAUGUGUCAUAAUGCAAUGUUUUAUGAUGUAUUCUGCAAUAUUUAUAUGGUAUACAUUUGAUGUUUUGUGAUGUAUUUUAUGAUGUUUUACGAUAUUUUUCUGUGAUGUUUAUAUAGUAUAAUAUGAUAUAUUUUAUGAGGUUUACAUAUUAUAUAUGUAAUGUUUUCUCUGUUAUAUUUUUAUUUUCACUUUUUGUUUUUAUGUUUUAUUCUUCUUUUUUUCAUUUUUUUGUUUUAUAUUUUUGCCUUUAUGUUUUCUAUAGAAUUUUUAUUCUCCUUUUCCCUUAUGUAGAUUAAUUAAUUUGUUUUUAUGUUUACUUUUAAAUUUGUUUGUAUUCCAUGUGAUGUUAUUAUGUUGUUGCAAUGUUCUAUGAUAUAUUUUUAUGAUGUUCGCAUGGUAUACAUAUGAUGUUCUAUGGUAUAUUUUGUGAUGUUUCUGAAAUAUACAUACAAAUAUGUUUGUGAUGUAUACUGUAAUGUUCACAUAAUAUACAUUUGAUGUUCUAUAAUGUAUUUUUCUGAUGUUCAUGUAGUAUACAUAGGAUGUUCACAUAUAUGUAAUGUUCUACAAUGUUUUUUUGUUGUUCACGUAGUAUACAUGUGAUCUUCUAUGAUGUAUUUAGUGAUAUUCACAUAAUAUAUUUGCUAUGUUCUAUAGUGUAUUGAGGAUAUUCUAUGAUGCACUUAAUGAUGUUCAUUCAACGUAUAUGUGAUGUUCUAUAAUGUAUUUUGUAAUGUUCACAUAGUAUAUAUGUAAUGUUCACGUAAUAUACAUGUAAUGUUCUAUAAUAUAUCUAGCGAUGUUCUAUGAUGUGUCUAGUGAUGUUCUAUAAUAUAUUUUAGGAUAUUUAAAAAAAAUAUUCAUAUGAUAUUCUUUUAAAAUUUUCUCUAAUACGUGUUUUUGUUUUUUUGUUAUAUUUUACUCUUGAUUUCAUUAUUUUUGUUUACAUUAUUUAUUUAUUUAUUUAUUUAUUUAUGUGUACAUUAUAAUACCAAUUUCAUGAUUCUAAAAAUAAAAUAUUGUAAUUUAUUUGUACUUCCCAUUGCUUAGAUUUUUUUCCAUGUUUUUAUGAAAUAUAUUUUGGUAUUUUUAAUAUAAAAUAUUAUUUCUUAUGAUGCUUUAUUAAUUUAUUUUUUUACUUUAAAUGGUGCGGUGUAUUUAAUAAAGAAACUAUUACACAGUUAUCACCAUCUUGUUGAUGGUGUAGUGGUGGUGAGUGAUGGCUGAAGACCUCUAGGUCUUGAGUUUGAUUCACACCCUAGACUGAUUUUGCUUUUUUAUUUUCUCAAAAGUAUCUAUAGCUGGAACGGGCCAGCUUCCAGUGAUCUGGGCCGGAAGCGCGUGGGGGUGGGCACGGGUGGGCCAGAACCACCUGCGGGUGUGCGGGUGGGAAGCCGAGUUGGCUUGGGCCAGGUUCCAGGCUGGAAGCGCGAUGCGGGCGGGCGGGAAAAAUUGCGGGCAGGCGGGAAAAAUUGUCGGACAACGCUUAUGGUCCGAACGGCCGGACAGGAAGAGCCCCACCGGCCAGUGUGUUUAAACUUCUACACGUUCAAGAUAUCUCUUAAGGCAAGGACUAACUUUUCGUGGACACCAUGAGUGUUCUUCCUCUUUGAAUAAAGGAAAGUUUCUUGUGUUGAUUGAUUUUUUGAAAGAUACUAACAAUGAAGAAGUCAGAUGUGCCUCUAUGACCGUGAGAGCAUCUCCAAGGGUUUUGCAUUUGAGUAAUUUGCCAAAAAGCUCCAAAAGAGGUAUCCAACGGUUUUGCAUUCGGAGUUUGCAAUUUGGGCAACUUGGCAAAUGAGGGAGUAAACUUGGCAAAAAUGCCAAGCUGUGGACGACUUUGCAAACCCGAUCGCGCGAGCAAAGUCACGCGCGAGGAAAGCGCGCGCGCCUGAAGACCUUCUAUUUUUAUCCUUUGCCAAGUUCAAAUGCCAAUUCCCUUGGAGAUGACCUAUUUUUAUCCUUUGCAUUUUGUUAUGAGAGUUUACAAAUAGCAACAAAUGCCAAGUCAAUUUGCCAAAGCCUUUGGAGAUGCUCUGAUGGGUUAAAUUGCAAGAUGGCUUUCCAUAAAAUUCAAAAGAAUCUCACAAGAUGCUGUGCAGAAGAUAUAGCGGAAGCAAUUAUGGGAGAAAUUGGUGAUAUAAAGUUAAUGAUGAAUCAUGGGACAUUUCGAUCAGUUAAAGGAACAAAUGGGGGUAAUUUUAAGGUUAGUAGCUAAUUUAUUGUGCCAUUUGUAUUACUGUAUUACUAGCAGAUGUGCUACUGUGUUAGCCUUAUUGCUGUUUUGUUUAAAAAGUUAAAUUGGUAUUGUUGCUCAGGUAUGUGAAUGCUCAACGGAAUGUCAUCGAACGAUUUCUUCCUCUUCUACAUGUCAUAUAUAGACACUGCAGCUGAUUCAUUGGAAGCAUUAUUUAGAAUUCUUGAAAAUCACAAGUCAUCUUUUUCUCGAAUACAAGAGCAAGUUAUGGUGGAGCUUCGAAUAUGAGAGAUGAAUUUAAUGGCUUACAAAAAAAUCUAGAUAAAAACCCAUAUGCCUUCUACGUCCAUUGUUUUGCACAUCAGUUAUAGUUGGUUGUUAUUUAAUUCUAUGGCAAAUUGUUGUUCCUUUAUUCAUGAGAGUAUGUCUCAUUGAUUGUGAACACAACAACCACAUCUUGCAAGAGGAGGGACAUGCUACUUGAAAACAAUCAUAAAAAUACUUUGCGAUGUAUUGAAACUAGUGACACAUCCACAGGAAGAGGCUUGAAUGGGAUCACAUCAUACUACAUUGAUUCGUUUGUCUCAGAUGUGGGACUCGGUGAUAGAGGUGCUUCAUAUAGAUUACCAAAUGAAGCAACUUGUUUGAUAGAAAAAAUGGAGUGUUUUCAGUUUGUUUUUAUCCUCGUGGUUAUGUUAAAAUUAUCGGGCUUUGCUGCGGUACCUUCAACUCCAAAUGACUAUGAACUGUUCAUUUACUUCGAUUGGACGGUCAUGACGAAUUAUUACCUCCUAGGAGGUAAUAGAUGAUAUAUAUCCUAUAUAUAUAUAUCCUAUAUAUAUAUAUCCUAUAUAUAUAUAUAUAAUAAAAGCUUUAGAUAUAAAAAAAUCCUUUUUCUGGAUUUGAUUGAUGCAUGCACGUCUCUAACUGAUAUGGUAAAUCUUUUAAUUUUAUAACUUUGUAGUUGAUAUAUUUUGAUUACCAUAUUAUGUUGUAUGUAACUUUAUACGCUUGAUUUUGCAUGUUUUAGGACUUGCAUGUGUACAUGAUUAGUGUGUCGUGUCAUGUGUGUACGGGGCUAGCCUAGUUAAUGUGUAUGUGGUGAGCAUGUGAGUACGUGGUGGUUAGUGUGUGAGUACGUUUGGUUAGGCUAGUUAGCAUGUGUGUGGUGAGCAUGUCCAUGCAUGCAUGUUAGAUGAGUGGUUGGCAUGUGUAUGAAUUUGAUCAAGUUUAUACAAAAUAAUAUGAAUAAUUAUACGUUGAAAUAGAUUAAAUAUAAAUAUGACCAAGUUUGAAAUUAUUUGAUUUUUAAUUCAAGUUUGUACGAAAAUGAUCAAACUCAUGGUUUGAAUUCAUACAAAAAUUUAUAGUUCAAAUUUGGAUAGCACCUUUUAUUUGAUUUUAAUUCAAAUUCAUUACAGAGAGGGAAAUGAAUGGCUUUAUUCUGUAUCUGCCUUGAUUAGUCCCAUUAGGGGAAUCGAUAUGCAUGUGGAGAUCGGCAUUCAUGUCUUUAAAGGAAUCUCCCUCCCAUCAUUAGCGGGAUGUCAAAGUUUUAUUUUCUUUUCCUAGAUUUUUUAAUUUAUUUAGUAAUCCAUAAAAUGUGAAAAACCAUUGGCUCAGAUUGAUUUGAAAUAUUACCUCCUCGGAGGUAAAGUUUGUACCUUAGCAUAUUAUUUGGAUAGCAUAGAAGAUUCAUCACUGCCAGUUUGAUAGAAAUCUGCACUGAAAGUGAAUCUGUAGUAGUGUAACAUUGUCAAUGCACUUGGUGUUAGUUACUAGCUCCCAUUAUGGAUAUGAUAGGACUCUAUAGCACUGUGCCUUUCAAUCUCACGGGAUUUUUUUAUUGCAAAUGCAAAUUUUUCAUGAUGUGAAGUCUAGGUUGAAGACCAUGAGAGUAAGUGGCUGAGAGGACUUAUUUGAAGAGGCAAGACAAUUUUAGGCGGUGAGGGGUUUGUUCAAGGCGUGAUGGAUUUACUGUUACUAAUCUUCAUCAUUAUCAUGUUGGGAUUUUCUAUGUUGUUGUUGAAAAAAUACAUGUUGAGAUUCUAGGUUUAGUGAAGUGACUAUGGAGUUAUUAUUGUGUUUCUCUUGUCUUGAUCCAAAUAACUCUUUUUGUUGUGUCAACAAGCUUGCUCGACUUAAUGAAAUAUAUGAUGGCAGUUUCUCUGACAAUGACCAUGCAAUAAUAAGGGGACAACUUUGAGACCUAUAUUUCUUCAUGUGAGGAAGCAUCAUGCCUUUGCUACUUGUACAGAUAUUGAAAGCUUGGCCACAAAGAUGAUUGCUACAGAAAAGCAUCUGUUUUUUUUCCAUUGGUCUACAAACUGAUUGAAUUGGCAUUGUUAGUGCCAAGUGUCAACCGCGUCUGUUGAAAGGUUAUUCUCAGCAACAGAAAUUAUAAAGUCAAAAUAGCACAAUAGAAUUGCCAACGAUCGGCUCAACAACUUGAUAGUGUGCUAUGUUAAGCGAGAAUUAUUCAGAUCACUUGAUGAAGCUUGUAUUCUUUCGUCAUUUUCAAAACUGGAAGAGUUGAAUGGUGCAACUUCCUUGUAGUUGUAUGCUUCAUAGCCAGAAACUAUCUUGUAUUUUCCUGUUAAGUUUUACUUAAUUGAUCCAUAUGUGAUCUUGUGAACAUGUACUACAAUAAGAUUCUAGUUAAAACUAAUGUGGCUGUCUUAUUUUGCUUAUACUAUAAUCCAUCUUUCUGAGCGC
This 44111-nucleotide long non-coding RNA is filed under the name Sorghum bicolor (sorghum). RNAcentral's name for it is "long non-coding RNA (SBIC_LNC007842)". The record is from RNAcentral. Lineage: Eukaryota; Viridiplantae; Streptophyta; Magnoliopsida; Poales; Poaceae.